This 1701-nucleotide ribosomal RNA is filed under the name Escherichia coli. RNAcentral's name for it is "partial 23S ribosomal RNA". It matches the Rfam family "Bacterial large subunit ribosomal RNA", at positions 165 to 1890 of the family's 2925-position model. The record is from RNAcentral. Lineage: Bacteria; Pseudomonadati; Pseudomonadota; Gammaproteobacteria; Enterobacterales; Enterobacteriaceae.
CAUAGGUUAAUGAGGCGAACCGGGGGAACUGAAACAUCUAAGUACCCCGAGGAAAAGAAAUCAACCGAGAUUCCCCCAGUAGCGGCGAGCGAACGGGGAGCAGCCCAGAGCCUGAAUCAGUAUGUGUGUUAGUGGAAGCGUCUGGAAAGGCGCGCGAUACAGGGUGACAGCCCCGUACACAAAAAUGCACAUGCUGUGAGCUCGAUGAGUAGGGCGGGACACGUGGUAUCCUGUCUGAAUAUGGGGGGACCAUCCUCCAAGGCUAAAUACUCCUGACUGACCGAUAGUGAACCAGUACCGUGAGGGAAAGGCGAAAAGAACCCCGGCGAGGGGAGUGAAAAAGAACCUGAAACCGUGUACGUACAAGCAGUGGGAGCACGCUUAGGCGUGUGACUGCGUACCUUUUGUAUAAUGGGUCAGCGACUUAUAUUCUGUAGCAAGGUUAACCGAAUAGGGGAGCCGAAGGGAAACCGAGUCUUAACUGGGCGUUAAGUUGCAGGGUAUAGACCCGAAACCCGGUGAUCUAGCCAUGGGCAGGUUGAAGGUUGGGUAACACUAACUGGAGGACCGAACCGACUAAUGUUGAAAAAUUAGCGGAUGACUUGUGGCUGGGGGUGAAAGGCCAAUCAAACCGGGAGAUAGCUGGUUCUCCCCGAAAGCUAUUUAGGUAGCGCCUCGUGAAUUCAUCUCCGGGGGUAGAGCACUGUUUCGGCAAGGGGGUCAUCCCGACUUACCAACCCGAUGCAAACUGCGAAUACCGGAGAAUGUUAUCACGGGAGACACACGGCGGGUGCUAACGUCCGUCGUGAAGAGGGAAACAACCCAGACCGCCAGCUAAGGUCCCAAAGUCAUGGUUAAGUGGGAAACGAUGUGGGAAGGCCCAGACAGCCAGGAUGUUGGCUUAGAAGCAGCCAUCAUUUAAAGAAAGCGUAAUAGCUCACUGGUCGAGUCGGCCUGCGCGGAAGAUGUAACGGGGCUAAACCAUGCACCGAAGCUGCGGCAGCGACGCUGAUGCGUUGUUGGGUAGGGGAGCGUUCUGUAAGCCUGCGAAGGUGUGCUGUGAGGCAUGCUGGAGGUAUCAGAAGUGCGAAUGCUGACAUAAGUAACGAUAAAGCGGGUGAAAAGCCCGCUCGCCGGAAGACCAAGGGUUCCUGUCCAACGUUAAUCGGGGCAGGGUGAGUCGACCCCUAAGGCGAGGCCGAAAGGCGUAGUCGAUGGGAAACAGGUUAAUAUUCCUGUACUUGGUGUUACUGCGAAGGGGGGACGGAGAAGGCUAUGUUGGCCGGGCGACGGUUGUCCCGGUUUAAGCGUGUAGGCUGGUUUUCCAGGCAAAUCCGGAAAAUCAAGGCUGAGGCGUGAUGACGAGGCACUGCGGUGCUGAAGCAACAAAUGCCCUGCUUCCAGGAAAAGCCUCUAAGCAUCAGGUAACAUCAAAUCGUACCCCAAACCGACACAGGUGGUCAGGUAGAGAAUACCAAGGCGCUUGAGAGAACUCGGGUGAAGGAACUAGGCAAAAUGGUGCCGUAACUUCGGGAGAAGGCACGCUGAUAUGUAGGUGAAGUCCCUCGCGGAUGGAGCUGAAAUCAGUCGAAGAUACCAGCUGGCUGCAACUGUUUAUUAAAAACACAGCACUGUGCAAACACGAAAGUGGACGUAUACGGUGUGACGCCUGCCCGGUGCCGGAAGGUUAAUUGAUGGGGU